CAGAGUAAGUCGGUAAGCGUUAAGUGCCGGUCGAACGGGGAGUUGUCGAUCGGACGAAAGGAACCCCGGUUCCUGCGGUUUGCCGGCUGCAUCCCGCUG
RNAcentral lists this non-coding RNA (99 nucleotides) under human gut metagenome. RNAcentral describes it as "THF riboswitch". It matches the Rfam family "THF (Tetrahydrofolate) riboswitch aptamer". From Rfam's summary of the family: THF riboswitch presents a pseudoknot that joins P1-P2 and the loop of P3 and two THF binding. The record is from RNAcentral.